This is a long non-coding RNA of Felis catus (domestic cat), 1385 nucleotides long. RefSeq lists it as uncharacterized. NCBI's taxonomy places the organism in Eukaryota, Metazoa, Chordata, Mammalia, Carnivora, Felidae. The record is from RefSeq and is a predicted model, not a curated record. The transcript has 2 exons.
AUCAUGACCUAAGCGAAGUCGGACACUUAAUUGACUGAGCCACCCACAUGCCCCCAAAAUAUACUUUUAAUGCUAAUGUUAAUACCAAUUUCACCUGUUCCUUUUUACUUUUUUUUUUUUAACAUGCUACUAAACAGUUGAAAAUUAACAUGUGUGCCUCCCAUUGUAUCUCCACUGGGCAGUGCCCUCAUGGAUGUUUUCUGACAGUCUAUAUACUGGCUUCUUUCUGCAGUGGGAAGAAGGCUCUUUCUCUCUUCAUUUGAUGGCUGAUGCUGCUAUGCAAUUUUAUCGGAUUCUUAGCUUCGUCACAGAUGGGAAAGAAGAAAGACGGGGGUGUGUCAAGGGUGUGUGAAAGACAAGGGAGCUUAUUAGGAAGUCAUGAUGUCCUUCAAAGAAAGCAAGUGGGCGAAGAUCCCACAAUAACAAUGGUUACUAUUUGUACAGAGACUUAACAGCGACAACCAUGUCUCUGAAUGCAUUUUCGCGGGCAUUAUCUAAUUUAAUCCUUACAACAGUACUGUGAUAUUUGUAUUUUCAUUGCCUUCAUCUUACAGGUGACGGGAGGGAACCUGUCUCUCCAAACUCUGGUUUACAUUACCUGCGUGACCCUGCGGGAUUUGUGUUUUUGACCCCUGUUCCUUGGCCAAUUACAUGUGCUUUAUAUUGAAAAACUGUUUGGAACCAAGUGAGUAGGGUUCCAGUCUAUGUCUUAGUUCAAAGACCUUGAUGGGACUCUUUAAUCAAAUGCACUUAAAUUGUAACUUUAAUACUUAUUUAGACCUGAUUUGAUCCCUGCAAUAGAAGAUUCCAUAUAAGUUUUUCUCUUGUAAGCACACUCGAGUUGUUUAACACAACCUUAUUAUGCAUCUUUCUUAACUCAGAGUUAAUUUUAAGGUUUCCUUUUUGGGAAGACCAGAUGCUGCAAAUUAUUUGUGUUUUUUGUUUUUUUGUUUUUUUGUUUUUUUUGAAUUCUGGAGCUAUUCCAGAAUAUGAAGCUAAUCGAAGCAGAUAACUGUGAAUUCACUGGGAGAUGACCCAUUUCCAAUUCUGCAGGUCAGGGAGGGGUUUGAGGUCAUCUUUUCACUAUUUGCAUUAGGAGUAGAGUCACAGCUAGCACAAAUGCCGCGAUGUCAAUGGUUUUAUUUAACUAGAACAACAAACAUAUGUUUUCCAGAUAUUUUUAUUCAAGACCAAAAAAGCAAAAGAUCUUUUUUCCAACAAAAGAAUGAGAAUUUUAGAAAUGUUUAACUCACUUAUAAAUGUAAAAUACGUUUGUUUUUAAAAUAUGUACUAACCAGGCUGUUUUCAUCAGGUUGGCAUGUGAACCUUAAACUAUGUGAUUAUUUUACACGUGAUUACAUAUGUCCAUAUGAUUAUGCAGCUAA